CAAUAGCGUAUAUUAAAGUUGUUGCAGUUAAAAAGCUCGUAGUUGGAUUUCUGUUCUUGGGAUCUGGUCCGCCUCACGGUGAGCACUGGAUAACUGGGGACAUCCUCUCGAAGGCGGCAGGUGCACUUGAUUGUGUGUUUGUUGAAUUCGGGACCUUUACUUUGAAAAAAUUAGAGUGUUCAAAGCAGGCGUCGGCUUGAAUACAUUAGCAUGGAAUAAUGGAAUAGGACUUUGGUUCUAUUUUGUUGGUUUCUAGGACCGAAGCAAUGAUUAAUAGGGACAGUUGGGGGCAUUAGUAUUUAAUUGUCAGAGGUGAAAUUCUUGGAUUUAUGAAAGACUAACUACUGCGAAAGCAUUUGCCAAGGAUGUUUUCAUUAA
This 378-nucleotide ribosomal RNA is filed under the name uncultured eukaryote. Its description in RNAcentral is "partial 18S ribosomal RNA". It matches the Rfam family "Eukaryotic small subunit ribosomal RNA", at positions 592 to 976 of the family's 1831-position model. The record is from RNAcentral.